Molecule: microRNA precursor, 92 nt
Filed under: Chlorocebus sabaeus (green monkey)
Lineage: Eukaryota; Metazoa; Chordata; Mammalia; Primates; Cercopithecidae
Description: miRNA (ENSCSAG00000027529.1)
Source: RNAcentral
ACUAGAUCGUAUUAGGUUGCUGCAAAAGUAAUUGUGCUUUUUCUGUUAAAACUAAUGGCAAAAAUCACAAUUACUUUUGCACCAACCUAAUA